Camelus ferus (Wild Bactrian camel) is the source of this 72-nucleotide transfer RNA. It matches the Rfam family "tRNA". Rfam says of the family: Transfer RNA (tRNA) molecules are approximately 80 nucleotides in length. Their secondary structure includes four short double-helical elements and three loops (D, anti-codon, and T loops). The record is from Rfam. NCBI's taxonomy places the organism in Eukaryota, Metazoa, Chordata, Mammalia, Artiodactyla, Camelidae.
GAGGGUAUAGCUCAGUGGUAGAGUGUGUGCUUAGCAUGCACGAGGUCCUGGGUUCAAUCCCCAGUACCUCCA